GAUGAACGCUGGCGGCGUGCCUAAUACAUGCAAGUCGUACGAAGGAGCUUGCUCCUUAGUGGCGAACGGGUGAGUAAUACAUAAAUAAUCUGCCUAUCAGACUGGGAUAACUAUUGGAAACGAUAGCUAAUACCGGAUAGGUGAUUCGGGGGCAUCUCUGAAUCAUUAAAGUAGGUUUUCUGCACUGAUAGAUGAGUUUAUGGCGCAUUAGUUAGUUGGUGAGGUAACGGCUCACCAAGACGAUGAUGCGUAGCCGACCUGAGAGGGUGACCGGCCACACUGGGACUGAGACACGGCCCAGACUCCUACGGGUGGCAG
This 318-nucleotide ribosomal RNA is filed under the name uncultured Bacillota bacterium. Its description in RNAcentral is "bacterial SSU rRNA". It matches the Rfam family "Bacterial small subunit ribosomal RNA", at positions 28 to 351 of the family's 1533-position model. Lineage: Bacteria; Bacillati; Bacillota. The record is from RNAcentral.